AUCCUGGGGCCGGCUGAAGCGGGGGUAAGACCCCGUGGAGGGCCGAACCCACUUCGGUUGAAAACGGAGGGGAUGACCCCAGGAUAGGGGUGAAAGGCCAAUCAAACCCGGAGAUAUCUCGUUCUCCCCGAAAUAGCUUUAGGGCUAGCCUCGGCCGUUAACCCGCGGUGGUAGAGCCACCGGAUCGACGAGGGGGCUUCACCGCCUACCGACUCGAACCGAACUCCGAAUGCCGCGGGUCGAGAGGCCGGGAGUCAGAGGGCGUGGGCUAAGCUGCGCGCUCGAGAGGGAAACAGCCCAGACCGCCCGCUAAGGUCCCCAAGUCAUCGCUGAGUGGCAAAGGAUGUGCGUCUGCCCAGACAACCAGGAUGUUGGCUUAGAAGCAGCCAUGCAUUUAAAGAGUGCGUAACAGCUCACUGGUCGAGUGGACAUGCGCCGACAAUUCACGGGGCUAAGCGAUGCACCGAAGCGGCGGACUGAGAAUUCAGUGGUAGGGGAGCUCUCCGCGGGGGGCGAAGCAGCAGGGCGACCUGCUGUGGACCGCGCGGAGGUGAGAAUGCUGGCAUGAGUAACGAGACCAGGGCGAGAAACCCUGGCGCCGUGAGCCUAAGGGUUCCUGGGCGAGGCUAAUCCCCCCAGGGUCAGUCGGGAGCUAAGGCGAGGCCGAGAGGCGUAGCCGAUGCGCAACAGGCGGACAUUCCUGUACCGCCUGCGGACCGCUAUCACCGACGGGGUGACGGAGAAGGGUAGCCGAGCGGGGUUCUGGACGUCCCCGUGAAAGCGCGUAGGGAGCAUCGCAUGGAAAUCAGCGGCGCACGUAUCCUGAGACGCGAGACGAAAGCUUAUGCUGAAGUCGGCGAGCCCAUGCUUCCGAGAAAAACCUCUAGGGAGUGCCGUCGGCGCCCGUACCAAAACCGACACAGGUGGGCGGGUAGAACAUACCGAGGCGAUCGGGAGAACCACGGUUAAGGAACUCGGCAUACUGGCCCCGUAACUUCGGGAGAAGGGGCGCCGCCGGCUGUGAACGCCCUCGCGGCGGGAGCGGCUGGCGGCCGCAGCGAAACGGCCCAAGCGACUGUUUAUCAAAAACACAGGACUCUGCAAAGCCGCAAGGCGACGUAUAGGGUCUGACGCCUGCCCGGUGCCGGAAGGUUACGCGGAUGCGUCAGCCGAAAGGCGAAGCGCUGAAGCCAAGCCCCGGUAAACGGCGGCCGUAACUAUAACGGUCCUAAGGUAGCGAAAUUCCUUGUCGGGUAAGUUCCG
This 1263-nucleotide ribosomal RNA is filed under the name human gut metagenome. Its description in RNAcentral is "bacterial LSU rRNA". It matches the Rfam family "Bacterial large subunit ribosomal RNA", at positions 732 to 1985 of the family's 2925-position model. The record is from RNAcentral.